AGCGAACGCUGGCGGCAGGCCUAACACAUGCAAGUCGAACGAAGCCUUCGGGCUUAGUGGCGGACGGGUGAGUAACACGGGGGAACGUACCUUUUGGUUCGGAAUAACGCAGAGAAAUUUGCGCUAAUACCGAAUGAGCCCUUAGGGGGAAAGAUUUAUCGCCGAAAGAUCGGCCCGCGUUGGAUUAGGUAGUGGGGGUGGUAAAGGGGUACCAAGCCUACGAUCCAUAGCGGGUCUGAGAGGAUGAGCAGCCACACUGGGACUGAGACACGGCCCAGACUCCUACGGGAGGCAGCAGUGGGGAAUCUUGCGCAAGGGGCGAAAGCCUGACGCAGCCAUGCCGCGUGAAUGAUGAAGGUCUUAGGAUUGUAAAAUUCUUUUACCAGGGACGAUAAUGACGGUACCUGGAGAAAAAGCCCCGGCUAACUUCGUGCCAGCCGCCGCAGUAA
Molecule: ribosomal RNA, 449 nt
Filed under: uncultured bacterium
Lineage: Bacteria
Description: partial 16S ribosomal RNA
Rfam family: Bacterial small subunit ribosomal RNA
Source: RNAcentral